Molecule: unclassified non-coding RNA, 756 nt
Filed under: Hevea brasiliensis (rubber tree)
Lineage: Eukaryota; Viridiplantae; Streptophyta; Magnoliopsida; Malpighiales; Euphorbiaceae
Source: RNAcentral
ACAAACAAAUCAUAAAUAGCAUGUGACGACAACGUAAGAGAGACCCAGACCCAGAGAGACCUAAAACUCUUGUUGGGGGGCAUUGGAUCAGGAACGAAAGGCACAAAGUUACAUGACCUGCGGAAGAGCAAGCAGUGGCAUCAAUGAAACCAAAAUAAGCCAACAAUAAAUUUGUUGUUAAUUGCAGAUGUUCUUGUCACCAGCACCCAUAUCCAACUCAAUAGAUGUUCAUACCCAUACCCAUUCUUGUUGAUGAACAUCAUUUAGAACCCGCAUGAGGAAGAAUAGAGGGAGAAGACGAAGCUCAAUGUUGGGCAGUGGUGGCAAAAUGAGACUGCAAAGCUUAAGGACGAUGAAUGGGUACUUCGUGCAAGGAUGAGUGCAGCUGAGUUAUCUUUGCAGGCUUCAAAUUAGGAUAAUAAAAUGAUCCAAACACAAAAGGGAUCUGCCAACCUCAUUCCCCGGAUAUCACCUUCGUAAUGGAGACGAAGAAUAAGCAGAGAAUAUGGCACGUAGGAAGCUGAGUAGUUGUGGCUUUUUUGAUAUGCUGAUUGUAGACCCGGUUGGCACAGCUGGUGGCUUUUGUUUAGCGUAGAACUCUACUUGUAUUGUGAAUGUAAUGAAAUUUGCGAAUUUUUUUAUUCAUGCGUCUAUUAUGGAUGCCAAGAAUAGAGCUCAAUGAGACUUAAUGUUUGUGCACAUUAAUAGUGAAGAAGAAAUUAUGAAAGAGCAAUUUAAUUUUAUUCUUUCUUAAAA